Molecule: ribosomal RNA, 460 nt
Filed under: uncultured bacterium
Lineage: Bacteria
Description: partial 16S ribosomal RNA
Rfam family: Bacterial small subunit ribosomal RNA
Source: RNAcentral
CCUACGGGCGGCUGCAGUGAGGAAUAUUGGUCAAUGGGCGGGAGCCUGAACCAGCCAAGCAGCGUGAGGGAUGAAGGUACUGCGUAUUGUAAACUUCUUUUGUCAGGGAAUAAAGUCGGGCACUAGUGCCUGUUUGUAUGUACUUUAUGAAAAAGCAUCGGCUAACUCCGUGCCAGCAGCCGCGGUAAUACGGAGGAUGCGAGCGUUAUCCGGAUUUAUUGGGUUUAAAGGGUGCGUAGAUGGGUUGUUAAGUCAGUUGGGAAAGUUUGCGGCCCAACCGCAAAAUUGCAAUUGAUACUGGCGGUCUGGAGUAGAGGUGAGGUAGGCGGAAUGCGCGGUGUAGCGGUGAAAUGCUUAGAGAUCACACAGAACCCCGAUUGCGAAGGCAGCGUACCAAGUUACCUCUGACGCUGAGGCACGAAAGCGUGGGUAGUAAACAGGAUUAGAUACCCGUGUAGUC